UUAUAAACGCGUCAAAAGGCUACGUUAAUUAAAUAACUGGCUUGUGGCAGCCAAGCGUUCAUAGCGACGUUGCUUUUUGAUCCUUCGAUGUCGGCUCUUCCUAUCAUUGAGACGCAGAAGUCGCAGAGUGUCGGAUUGUUCACUCGCCAAUAGGGAACGUGAGCUGGGUUUAGACCGUCGUGAGACAGGUUGGUUUUACCCUACUGACAAAGUAGAUACUGCGACAGUAGUCGAAGUUAGUACGAGAGGAGCACUUCGUCCAGAUACUUGGUUAAUGCCGUUGUCUGAAAAGACAGUACGGCGAAGCUACCAUCUGCUGGAUUACGGCUGAACGCCUCUAAGCCGGAAUCCAUGCUGGAUAAGCAGUGUUGUACACCGUGCUCAAUGCUACAAGAAAAAGGCUAGGUCAGGCUUCGGCCUGACCAAAAUUCAAGCUGCUAUACCUCUGGCUGCAUUGACUUGUGGUCGGAGUGUAUGGUGAUCAUAGCAAUUGCAAGUAUUGGGCUCGAUAAAUCCUUUGAAGACGACUUAAUUGCAUCCGGGUAUUGUAAGUGUUGAGAGUAGGCUUAGUCUUACGAUCCACUGAGAUUCAUCCCGUGUUGCGCCGAUUU
RNAcentral lists this non-coding RNA (611 nucleotides) under Perkinsus marinus ATCC 50983. RNAcentral describes it as "Eukaryotic large subunit ribosomal RNA". It matches the Rfam family "Eukaryotic large subunit ribosomal RNA", at positions 2795 to 3399 of the family's 3401-position model. The record is from Rfam by way of RNAcentral. Lineage: Eukaryota; Perkinsozoa; Perkinsida; Perkinsidae.